Molecule: ribosomal RNA, 387 nt
Filed under: uncultured bacterium
Lineage: Bacteria
Description: bacterial SSU rRNA
Rfam family: Bacterial small subunit ribosomal RNA
Source: RNAcentral
AUUGAACGCUGGCGGCAUGCCUUACACAUGCAAGUCGAACGGUAACAGGGAGCUUGCUCCGCUGACGAGUGGCGAACGGGUGAGUAAUAUAUCGGAACGUGCCCUAGAGUGGGGGAUAACUAGUCGAAAGAUUAGCUAAUACCGCAUACGAUCUAAGGAUGAAAGUGGGGGAUCGCAAGACCUCAUGCUCGUGGAGCGGCCGAUAUCUGAUUAGCUAGUUGGUAGGGUAAAAGCCUACCAAGGCAUCGAUCAGUAGCUGGUCUGAGAGGACGACCAGCCACACUGGGACUGAGACACGGCCCAGACCCCUACGGGAGGCAGCAGUGGGGAAUUUUGGACAAUGGGCGCAAGCCUGAUCCAGCAAUGCCGCGUGAGUGAAGAAGGCCU